AUUGAACGCUGGCGGCAGGCCUAACACGUGCAAGUCGAGCGGAUGAAGGGAGCUUGCUCCUGGAUUCAGCGGCGGACGGGUGAGUAAUGCCUAGGAAUCUGCCUGGUAGUGGGGGAUAACGUCCGGAAACGGGCGCUAAUACCGCAUACGUCCUGAGGGAGAAAGUGGGGGAUCUUCGGACCUCACGCUAUCAGAUGAGCCUAGGUCGGAUUAGCUAGUUGGUGGGGUAAAGGCCUACCAAGGCGACGAUCCGUAACUGGUCUGAGAGGAUGAUCAGUCACACUGGAACUGAGACGCGGUCCAGACUCCUACGGGAGGCAGCAGUGGGGAAUAUUGGACAAUGGGCGAAAGCCUGAUCCAGCCAUGCCGCGUGUGUGAAGAAGGUCUUCGGAUUGUAAAGCACUUUAAGUUGGGAGGAAGGGCAGUAAGUUAAUACCUUGCUGUUUUGACGUUACCAACAGAAUAAGCACCGGCUAACUUCGUG
This 484-nucleotide ribosomal RNA is filed under the name uncultured bacterium. Its description in RNAcentral is "partial 16S ribosomal RNA". It matches the Rfam family "Bacterial small subunit ribosomal RNA", at positions 30 to 507 of the family's 1533-position model. The record is from RNAcentral.